CGGACUGGCCCAGGGAGGUCGGCAACGACCACCCAGGGCCGGAAAGUUGGUCAAACUCGGUCAUUUAGAGGAAGUAAAAGUCGUAACAAGGUCUCCGUAGGUGAACCUGCGGAGGGAUCAUUA
Molecule: ribosomal RNA, 123 nt
Filed under: Brunneosphaerella protearum
Lineage: Eukaryota; Fungi; Ascomycota; Dothideomycetes; Mycosphaerellales; Mycosphaerellaceae
Also listed under: 1 other name
Description: partial 18S ribosomal RNA
Rfam family: Eukaryotic small subunit ribosomal RNA
Source: RNAcentral